GAGUUGGAUAAGUGAUCGCGGCUGCAUUUUAUGCAGGUGAGGAAAGUCCGGGCUUCACAGGGCAGGAUGCCGGAUAACGUCCGGUGGAGGCGACUCCCAGGCCAGUGCAACAGAAAUAUACCGCCAUAUUCUCAGGAAUAUGGUAAGGGUGGAAAGGCGAGGUAAGAGCUCACCGCUGCCAUGGUAACAUGGCAGGCUCUGUAAACCCCAUCCGAAGCAAGACCAAAUAUAGUCUCCCACGGGAGACUUGUGGAAUGAUACAGUUGCCCGCUGCAUUCCAGGUAGGUUGCUUGAGUUUUAUGGUAACAUAACUCCUAGAUAGAUGAUCACUCUCGACAUAACCCGGCUUACAGUCCAACUCAU
RNAcentral lists this RNase P RNA (363 nucleotides) under uncultured Coprococcus sp. Its description in RNAcentral is "Bacterial RNase P class A". It matches the Rfam family "Bacterial RNase P class A". Rfam says of the family: Ribonuclease P (RNase P) is a ubiquitous endoribonuclease, found in archaea, bacteria and eukarya as well as chloroplasts and mitochondria. Its best characterised activity is the generation of mature 5'-ends of tRNAs by cleaving the 5'-leader elements of precursor-tRNAs. Lineage: Bacteria; Bacillati; Bacillota; Clostridia; Lachnospirales; Lachnospiraceae. The record is from RNAcentral.